AACGAACGCUGGCGGCAUGCCUAACACAUGCAAGUCGAACGAGACCUUCGGGUCUAGUGGCGCACGGGUGCGUAACGCGUGGGAACCUGCCUUUAGGUUCGGAAUAACUCAGAGAAAUUUGAGCUAAUACCGGAUAAUGUCUUCGGACCAAAGAUUUAUCGCCUUUAGAUGGGCCCGCGUAAGAUUAGCUAGUUGGUGGGGUAAAGGCCUACCAAGGCGACGAUCUUUAGCUGGUCUGAGAGGAUGAUCAGCCACACUGGGACUGAGACACGGCCCAGACUCCUACGGGAGGCAGCAGUGGGGAAUAUUGGACAAUGGCGAAAGCCUGAUCCAGCAAUGCCGCGUGAGUGAUGAAGGCCUUAGGGUUGUAAAG
RNAcentral lists this ribosomal RNA (373 nucleotides) under uncultured bacterium. RNAcentral's name for it is "bacterial SSU rRNA". It matches the Rfam family "Bacterial small subunit ribosomal RNA", at positions 29 to 430 of the family's 1533-position model. The record is from RNAcentral.